This 950-nucleotide ribosomal RNA is filed under the name uncultured bacterium. RNAcentral describes it as "bacterial SSU rRNA". It matches the Rfam family "Bacterial small subunit ribosomal RNA", at positions 8 to 933 of the family's 1533-position model. The record is from RNAcentral.
AGAGUUUGAUCCUGGCUCAGAACGAACGUUGGCGGCGUGCUUAACACAUGCAAGUCGAACGAGAACGGUUUCUUCGGAAACUUAGUACAGUGGCGCACGGGUGAGUAACGCGUAAGUAAUCUACCCUCGCAUCUGGAAUAACUACGGGAAGCUGUAGCUAAUACCGGAUACGUUUAUAGAGUUACGACUCUAUAAAGAAAGAUGGCCUCUUCUUGAAAGCUAUCGUGCGGGGAGGAGCUUGCGUACCAUUAGCUAGUUGGUAGGGUAAUGGCCUACCAAGGCAACGAUGGUUAGCGGGUCUGAGAGGAUGAUCCGCCACACUGGAACUGGAACACGGACCAGACUCCUACGGGAGGCAGCAGUGAGGAAUAUUGCGCAAUGGGGGCAACCCUGACGCAGCGACGCCGCGUGGAUGAUGAAGGCCUUUGGGUCGUAAAAUCCUGUCAGGUGGGAAGAAAUGCAUAUGGGUUAAUAUCUCUUAUGUUUGACGGUACCACCAAAGGAAGCACCGGCUAACCCCGUGCCAGCAGCCGCGGUAAUACGGGGGGUGCAAACGUUGUUCGGAAUUACUGGGCGUAAAGCGCGCGUAGGCGGUUUGUUAAGUCAGAUGUGAAAGUCCACAGCUCAACUGUGGAAGUGCAUUUGAUACUGGCAGACUUGAGUACUGGAGGGGGUGGUGGAAUUCCCGGUGUAGAGGUGAAAUUCGUAGAUAUCGGGAGGAAUACCGGUGGCGAAGGCGACCACCUGGCCAGAUACUGACGCUGAGGUGCGAAAGCGUGGGGAGCAAACAGGAUUAGAUACCCUGGUAGUCCACGCCGUAAACGAUGAGAACUAGGUGUUGGGGCGGUUAAUCGUCUCAUUGCCGGAGCUAACGCACUAAGUUCUCCGCCUGGGGAGUACGGUCGCAAGAUUAAAACUCAAAGGAAUUGACGCGGGCCCGCACAAGCGGU